RNAcentral lists this unclassified non-coding RNA (208 nucleotides) under Hevea brasiliensis (rubber tree). The record is from RNAcentral. Lineage: Eukaryota; Viridiplantae; Streptophyta; Magnoliopsida; Malpighiales; Euphorbiaceae.
AUGUUUUUCUUUUUUUUUUUUAAUAAGUAAAUAGUACAAACUAGUAGGUAUAUGCUUAGGUGGUGUUUUUUGUCUGGAGUUAUCGAUGUUGUGCGGGGAAGCUUUGAACAGGACCACACGGCCUCUGGUCAUAGAUUUGAAAUAAAUGUUAAUGCGAUAACACAGACAGGAGAAAGCAGAAUCUAGGAUUGAGUAGUCAAUAGCUAAA